CGAACGCUGGCGGCGUGCUUAACACAUGCAAGUCGAACGGAAAGGCCCUGCUUUUGUGGGGUGCUCGAGUGGCGAACGGGUGAGUAACACGUGAGUAACCUGCCCUUGACUUUGGGAUAACUUCAGGAAACUGGGGCUAAUACCGGAUAGGAGCUCCUGCUGCAUGGUGGGGGUUGGAAAGUUUCGGCGGUUGGGGAUGGACUCGCGGCUUAUCAGCUUGUUGGUGGGGUAGUGGCUUACCAAGGCUUUGACGGGUAGCCGGCCUGAGAGGGUGACCGGCCACAUUGGGACUGAGAUACGGCCCAGACUCCUACGGGAGGCAGGAGUGGGGAAUAUUGCACAAUGGGCGGAAGCCUGAUGCAGCAACGCCGCGUGCGGGAUGACGGCCUUCGGGUUGUAAACCGCUUUCGCCUGUGACGAAGCGUGAGUGACGGUAAUGGGUAAAGAAGCACCGGCUAACUACGUG
Molecule: ribosomal RNA, 466 nt
Filed under: uncultured bacterium
Lineage: Bacteria
Description: partial 16S ribosomal RNA
Rfam family: Bacterial small subunit ribosomal RNA
Source: RNAcentral